RNAcentral lists this ribosomal RNA (1091 nucleotides) under Planctomycetota bacterium. RNAcentral describes it as "partial 23S ribosomal RNA". It matches the Rfam family "Bacterial large subunit ribosomal RNA", at positions 651 to 1723 of the family's 2925-position model. Lineage: Bacteria; Pseudomonadati; Planctomycetota. The record is from RNAcentral.
CCGAAAGAGGUGAAGCCGAAGGGAAACCGAGUCUUAAUAGGGCGUAUAGUUGCGUGGGGCAGACGCGAAGCGGGACGAUCUAGUCAUGGCCAGGAUGAAGCGUGGGUAAAACCUCGUGGAGGUCCGAACGGGUGAAGGUUGAAAACUUCUCCGAUGAGCUGUGAUUAGGGGUGAAAGACCAAUCAAGUUCCGGGAUAGCUCGUUCUCCCCGAAAGAUAUUUAGGUGUCGUCUCAGGAAAUUCAAUCGUGAAGGUAGAGCACUGGAAAGGCUAGGGGUCCUACCAGAUUACUAAACCUUACCAAACUCCGAAUGUCACGAAUUGUUAUCUUGGGAAAAAGUUUUUGGGUGCUAAGGUCCAAAGACGAGAGGGAAAGAGCCCAGAUCGACAGCUAAGGUCCUAAAGUUCUAACUAAGUGGUAAAGGAUGUGGGAACGCAUUGACAGCCAGGAGGUUGGCUUAGAAGCAGCCAUCCUUCAACGAAAGCGUAAUAGCUCACUGGUCGAGUGGGCCUGCGCCGAAAAUGUAACGGGGCUAAGUUAGACACCGAAGCUUCGAGUUUGAUAGAAAUACGUUUCUAUUAAGCGGUAGGAGAGCAUCGUAGCGGCACUGAAGAUUGACCGUAAGGACAGUUGGAGCUUCUACGAGAGAGUAUGCCACAAUGAGUAGCGAUAAAAAAUGUGAGAAACAUUUUCGCCGAAAACCCAAGGUUUCCUGGGGUAGGUUAAUCCUCCCAGGGUUAGUCGGGUCCUAAGCUGAGGCCGAAAGGCGUAGGCGAUGGUAAGCGGGUUAAUAUUCCUGCACCUGAUGUUAGUUUUGAAGCGAGCGGGGACGGAGAAGGGCAGCCGAGCCACGGGAUGGAUCGUGGUUUAAGCUAGUAGGCUUGGGGUAUACGAAACCAAAGGUAUCCCAUUUAAGGCUGAGAGGUGAUGACGUGUUUUUCUUUCGGGAAAAACGAAGUCGGUGAUCCCAUGCUUCCAAGAAAAGCCGCGCGUGGAGCGAAACACAAGUUCGUACCGCAAACCGACACAGGUGGGUAGGGUGAGAAUCCCAAGGCGCUUGAGAGAACCCAGCUUAAGGAACUCUGCAAAUU